Long non-coding RNA from Equus quagga, 1188 nucleotides. RefSeq lists it as uncharacterized. Lineage: Eukaryota; Metazoa; Chordata; Mammalia; Perissodactyla; Equidae. The transcript is spliced from 3 exons. The record is from RefSeq and is a predicted model, not a curated record.
CCGGGACCCCGCGCUGUGUGCUCACGGCCUGGAGAAAGGGAGCUGGGCGAGAGACGUCGGGCUAUCUGACGGGAAGGUCACCCGGUCCCAGAGUGAGGGGACUGCAGAGAUCUUGACACAAAUAACUAAAGAAAUUCUGCAUGUAAAUAUCCAGUCCACUUCACUGGGAGCUGAGACAUCCCUGUCUUAGGCUGAGUCCCGUGAUUCCCUCCAUCCAGUCGGGAGAAGCCUUCGCGUUCUCGAGGGAGCGAUUUAUGGUGGGGAUGAAGGGGAUUCAGCAGCCGCGGUGGAGGAUGGGGGUCAGUGCGUUCUGAGAUGAGGAGAGGAAGCAGACAAGGUCUUCAGAUGGCUCUUUAUCGAUAUUUGAUGACAGAUGAGGGCGAACAACUCAAGAUGUUGACACUGAUCCACCACAAGCCCCAAGAGAUCCUGGUCAGAAUAAACUGACGAAGAAAACAUAAGCAGAGCAGCAAGCCCCCCACGUCAGCAUGGACCUGACAAGGCAGCAGCAGAUGCGCAGACAUCCACAAGGAAGAGACAGGCUGAACUGGGAGAUAAACACUGGGCCGAGGUUGAAGCACCGUGAGCCUGCUUCUCGAAGUUGUAUGAGUUGCUGAAUCAGCCCGUCUGAGUCGGAUCGGAAGAGGGUCUUCUCAUCAAGCAAGUGUGCAAAUGUUCCCCUGAUCCCACCUCUGUGCCUUUGCUCAGGCAGUUCCCUCCGCCAAGAAUGCCCUCAUCUCUCCCCUCCAACCUGGGAAAGUCAUGGCCAUGCUGCAGUCCCCUCGCUCUCACAGCUUGUGUGGUCACAGAGCUGGUUUUAUGCUAAAGUUUAGUUGCUAUUUUCUGUGGUCAGUUUCUGAAGGAGGCCAACUGUCAUCUCUGUCCCCUUACAGAGUAUAGUCAGGGGUUUAAGACUAAUAGAGCCUGGACUGGCCAAUGUAAAUAUAACGAGAGCCACAUUAUAAUUUUUAAUUUUCUAGUAACACUUAACAGUUAUUACAUGUCACUUAAAAUCAAAAAGAAACAGGUGAAAUUAAUUAGAAUAAGAUAUUUUAACCAAUAUUAAGGUGACCAACUGUCCCGGUUUGCCCAGGACUUAGGAGUUUCCUGGGAUACAGACGUUUCAUUUCAGUAAUAAAACCAGGAAUGUCUCUGGCAAACCAGAUUAAGUUGGUCACUCUACUUAAU